CCUACGGGUGACAGCAGUGGGGAAUAUUGCACAAUGGGGGAAACCCUGAUGCAGCAACGCCGCGUGAAGGAAGACGGUUUUCGGAUUGUAAACUUCUGUUCUUAGUGAAGAAUAAUGACGGUAGCUAAGGAGCAAGCCACGGCUAACUACGUGCCAGCAGCCGCGGUAAUACGUCGGUGGCAAGCGUUAUCCGGAUUUACUGGGUGUAAAGGGCGUGUAGGCGGGAGAGCAAGGCAGAUGUGAAAUUCAAGGGCUCAACCCUGGACCUGCAUUUGAAACUGUUUUUCUUGAGUGAUGGAGAUGCAGGCGGAAUUCCGUGUGUAGCGGUGAAAUGCGUAGAUAUACGGAGGAACACCAGUGGCGAAGGCGGCCUGCUGGACAUUAACUGACGCUGAGGCGCGAAAGCGUGGGGAGCAAACAGGAUUAGAUACCCGAGUAGUC
This 441-nucleotide ribosomal RNA is filed under the name uncultured bacterium. Its description in RNAcentral is "partial 16S ribosomal RNA". It matches the Rfam family "Bacterial small subunit ribosomal RNA", at positions 338 to 795 of the family's 1533-position model. The record is from RNAcentral.